RNAcentral lists this long non-coding RNA (1627 nucleotides) under Lathyrus oleraceus (garden pea). RNAcentral's name for it is "Pisum sativum (pea) long non-coding RNA (PSAT_LNC024789)". The record is from RNAcentral. Lineage: Eukaryota; Viridiplantae; Streptophyta; Magnoliopsida; Fabales; Fabaceae.
AAUACUAAAAUAUCGAAAAAAUUCCCACCAAGAACAAUUGAAAUGUGAAGAUAGGUCGCAAAGCAAUUCUCCACUGAGAUAUAGGGUGAACAAGAUAGCUUUUGUGCAAGGCAGCUGCUUGGGAAUUUAAAUGUUAUUUUGGUGAAAUUGAUAGCUAUGGAUAGUUAGAUAUGUAUGAGGUAUAAAGUAUGCUAAUCCAAUGAGAUUGAUCUCUUUUUUUUUCGUUUUAUCCCUACUAACAAGUUUUAGCAGGCACUGAGAAAUAAGUUUUUCCGUUGGGGGAUAUAUUGUGGUUUUUUUUUAAAAAUAGUUCGUUGGGCAAAACCUGGACUUCGGGGUGAUAGAUAACUUCACUAGGGAAGAUAGUGUGGGAAAUAGAAAGUAAAUAGUUGGUCAUCAACUCUGAGGUUGGGCACAGAAAGAUGAUCAACACUGAUUGCUGGGGAUUGAAAUUUUUUGACCUCAAUACUGUGAAUGGGGUAAAACUGGACAUUCUCAACUCUACGGUUGGAAACAAAUUAUGAUCAACAUCGGCUCUGAGGCUGGAAAAGGGAUAAGCAUCAACUCUGAGGUCAGGUACAAUGGGGUGAACAUAGACUCUAAGGUCGGGAACAAAGGUAGGCGUGAACUCUGAGGUUGGAUUUAUAGACACCAGCUCUGAGGCCGGGUGACAAGAAGGGGUUCAACAACUCGAAAGUUGGGAAAAAGGUACACGUUCAACUCUGAGGUUGGGGAUAGAAGGUUCAUUAACUCCACGGUUGGAAAAAGGUAGACGUUUAACUUUGAGGCUGAAAAAAGAUAGACCUUCAGCUCUGAGGCUAGGGGUAGAAAAGGAUAAACGUCAACUCUGAGGUUGGAAAAAGGUAGAUAUUCAGCUCUGAGGCUAGAAAAAGAGAUACAUCAACUCCGAAGUUGAAAAAAUGUAGCUGCUCAACUCUGAGGCUAGGAGCAAAAAAAUGGUAAACAUCAACUCCGAAGUUGGAAACAAGUAGAUACUCAACUCUGAGGUUGGAAGCUAAAUGGAAAACAACAACUCCGAGGCUGGAAAGGGGGAAAUAACACUGAGGUUGGAAAAGGGGUGAUAACUCUGAGGUUGGACAAGGGGCGACAACACUGAGAUUGGAAAAGGGGCGACAACACUAAGGUUGGAAAAGGGACAACAACUCUGAGGUUGGAAAAGGGGCAACAACUCUGAGGUUAGAAAAGGGGCGACACCAUUGAGGUUAGAAAAGGGGCGACAACACUUAGGUUGGAAAAGGGGAGACAACUCUGAGGUUGGAAAAGGGGCAACAACAUUGAGGUUGGAAAAGGGGCGACAACUCUGAGGUUAGAAAAGGGGCGACAACACUGAGGUUGGAAAAGGGGCAACAACUCUGAGGUUAGAAAAAGGGCAACAACUCUGAGGUUGAAAAAGGGGCAACAACUCUGGGGUUGGAAAAGGGGCAACAACACUGAGGUUGGAAAAGGGGAAACAACUCUGAGGCUGCAAAUGAGAAAGGUUAUCAUCAACUCUGGGGUUGGGAAUGAGAAACAUCCAACUCUGAGGUCAUACAUAAGAGAAAGGCAACAGCUCUAAGGUUGGAAAUAAGAAAAAUAGACAACAACUCUGAGGUUGGAAAUAAGGAAG